CAUUGUAAAUAAGAAUUUGUUCUUAACUGAUGUGCCUAGUUAAAUAAAAAAAGAUGCAAAGUUUGGUAACAGAAUGAGUGUUUGUGCUGUCAUUCUGUUAUUGUGGAAUUGCCUCACUAGCUUCUAUUUACUCAAAUGGGUUCCGUGGUUUAGACAAAAUCUCUCUGUUGUGUCGUUCUUCAUACUAUCUUGUAAGGUCAUAUUUGUUGCUUCAGUGGAACUGAUGGUUUUAAAAUGUGUGUUAUUAUUGUAUGUGUUCCACUCCCAAACAGGGUAUUAUAUGUGUGAUAAACAUACCAUGUACAAACAGUUUUGUAGUUUGGAUUCUGUACAAUAUUCUGCUUCAUUCAUUGAAUUUACGAACAUAUUAUAAUUCUGAAGACAUUCCUGAUGACAGUAUUUGUUUUGUUUAUGAGGGUAUGAAGGUAUGAGGUAUGAGAAAUGUUUAGGAAGUUCAAAACAGUUCUUUGGAGAUGAAUGUGKAAUUUUACCAACCUAUAUGUUUGGCUAAAUGGUUUUGAUUGCUUCUGUUUUUUAUUUAGAAUAAGCUAUUUUAAGGUAUAACUUUUCAGGAUAGCAUACAAGUUUUCUCCUGAUACUCUGUAAUGGGGAAAUGUAAGAUCACUGUUCAUAGUUUUCUGUGACCUAACUUUUCCCAAAUAAUACUGUACACUCAACAGAGGUUUUCAUCUGGAUAACAAACUUUUUUUUUAUAGCAGACAUAUUUUAGGAACAUGCAUCUUUGUCACCUUAUACACUUGCAUUAUGUUCAUUAGACAACACACCUAAUGAUAACACACAGCCAUUCUGUGUAGAGCUAAUGGGAUUAUUUUAAAAUGGUUCUUUAAAUUGUUUUCUCUGGCUUUAAUAUGAGUAAAAAGGUUACAAGCACUUUUCAACUAUGUGUGCCAAAUAUGUUUGAUUUUAUUUGAAAUUCAAUAAAUUCAAUAAAUGACUGCCAUUGAAAUGUC
Molecule: long non-coding RNA, 971 nt
Organism: Salvelinus sp. IW2-2015
Lineage: Eukaryota; Metazoa; Chordata; Actinopteri; Salmoniformes; Salmonidae
Source: RefSeq, a predicted model, not a curated record